Lutra lutra (Eurasian river otter) is the source of this 211-nucleotide long non-coding RNA. RefSeq lists it as uncharacterized. NCBI's taxonomy places the organism in Eukaryota, Metazoa, Chordata, Mammalia, Carnivora, Mustelidae. The transcript has 4 exons. The record is from RefSeq and is a predicted model, not a curated record.
GGUAACAUACCAUGAGUGAACUUUCUGUCUCCCUGUGGUUUGCUGGAGCCAUUUAACUCCAGAACAACUUGCAGACACAGUCAUCUUGUGUUUCAGUAAAUUGAUAUUGGUCAUCAUGGUUCUUUUUUAUCUUAGUAAACAUUCAGAUCUCUCCAUUCCUAUUCGUGAAGAGGUAAAGUGCUUAGUCUCCCUACCUUGAGCAACAGUUUAA